Molecule: ribosomal RNA, 433 nt
Filed under: uncultured bacterium
Lineage: Bacteria
Description: partial 16S ribosomal RNA
Rfam family: Bacterial small subunit ribosomal RNA
Source: RNAcentral
AACGAACGCUGGCGGCAUGCCUAACACAUGCAAAUCGAACGAGACCUUCGGGUCUAGUGGCGCACGGGUGCGUAACGCGUGGGAACCUGCCCUUAGGUUCGGAAUAACUCCCCGAAAGGGGUGCUAAUACCGGAUAAUGUCUUCGGACCAAAGAUUUAUCGCCUUUGGAUGGGCCCGCGUUGGAUUAGCUAGUUGGUAGGGUAAAAGCCUACCAAGGCGACGAUCCAUAGCUGGUCUGAGAGGAUGAUCAGCCACACUGGGACUGAGACACGGCCCAGACUCCUACGGGAGGCAGCAGUGGGGAAUAUUGGACAAUGGGCGAAAGCCUGAGCCAGCAAUGCCGCGUGAGUGAUGAAGGACUUAGGGUUGUAAAGCUCUUUUACCCGGGAUGAUAAUGACAGUACCGGGAGAAUAAGCUCCGGCUAACUCCGUG